RNAcentral lists this ribosomal RNA (1330 nucleotides) under Curtobacterium flaccumfaciens. RNAcentral describes it as "bacterial SSU rRNA". It matches the Rfam family "Bacterial small subunit ribosomal RNA", at positions 140 to 1482 of the family's 1533-position model. Lineage: Bacteria; Bacillati; Actinomycetota; Actinomycetes; Micrococcales; Microbacteriaceae. The record is from RNAcentral.
GGGAUAAGCGUUGGAAACGACGUCUAAUACUGGAUAUGAUCACUGGCCGCAUGGUCUGGUGGUGGAAAGAUUUUUUGGUUGGGGAUGGACUCGCGGCCUAUCAGCUUGUUGGUGAGGUAAUGGCUCACCAAGGCGACGACGGGUAGCCGGCCUGAGAGGGUGACCGGCCACACUGGGACUGAGACACGGCCCAGACUCCUACGGGAGGCAGCAGUGGGGAAUAUUGCACAAUGGGCGAAAGCCUGAUGCAGCAACGCCGCGUGAGGGAUGACGGCCUUCGGGUUGUAAACCUCUUUUAGUAGGGAAGAAGCGAAAGUGACGGUACCUGCAGAAAAAGCACCGGCUAACUACGUGCCAGCAGCCGCGGUAAUACGUAGGGUGCAAGCGUUGUCCGGAAUUAUUGGGCGUAAAGAGCUCGUAGGCGGUUUGUCGCGUCUGCUGUGAAAUCCCGAGGCUCAACCUCGGGCUUGCAGUGGGUACGGGCAGACUAGAGUGCGGUAGGGGAGAUUGGAAUUCCUGGUGUAGCGGUGGAAUGCGCAGAUAUCAGGAGGAACACCGAUGGCGAAGGCAGAUCUCUGGGCCGUAACUGACGCUGAGGAGCGAAAGCAUGGGGAGCGAACAGGAUUAGAUACCCUGGUAGUCCAUGCCGUAAACGUUGGGCGCUAGAUGUAGNGACCUUUCCACGGUUUCUGUGUCGUAGCUAACGCAUUAAGCGCCCCGCCUGGGGAGUACGGCCGCAAGGCUAAAACUCAAAGGAAUUGACGGGGGCCCGCACAAGCGGCGGAGCAUGCGGAUUAAUUCGAUGCAACGCGAAGAACCUUACCAAGGCUUGACAUACACCGGAAACGGCCAGAGAUGGUCGCCCCCUUGUGGUCGGUGUACAGGUGGUGCAUGGUUGUCGUCAGCUCGUGUCGUGAGAUGUUGGGUUAAGUCCCGCAACGAGCGCAACCCUCGUUCUAUGUUGCCAGCGGGUUAUGCCGGGGACUCAUAGGAGACUGCCGGGGUCAACUCGGAGGAAGGUGGGGAUGACGUCAAAUCAUCAUGCCCCUUAUGUCUUGGGCUUCACGCAUGCUACAAUGGCCGGUACAAAGGGCUGCGAUACCGUAAGGUGGAGCGAAUCCCAAAAAGCCGGUCUCAGUUCGGAUUGAGGUCUGCAACUCGACCUCAUGAAGUCGGAGUCGCUAGUAAUCGCAGAUCAGCAACGCUGCGGUGAAUACGUUCCCGGGCCUUGUACACACCGCCCGUCAAGUCAUGAAAGUCGGUAACACCCGAAGCCGGUGGCCUAACCCUUGUGGAAGGAGCCGUCGAAGGUGGGAUCGGUGAUAGGACU